RNAcentral lists this ribosomal RNA (367 nucleotides) under uncultured archaeon. RNAcentral describes it as "bacterial SSU rRNA". It matches the Rfam family "Archaeal small subunit ribosomal RNA", at positions 451 to 818 of the family's 1478-position model. The record is from RNAcentral.
ACUGGUGUCAGCCGCCGCGGUAAUACCAGCUCUCCGAGUGGUAGGGAUGAUUAUUGGGCUUAAAGCGUUCGUAGCCGGCCUGGCAAGUCUCUCGUUAAAUCCAGCGACCCAAUCGUUGAGCCGCGGGAGAUACUACUAGGCUAGGAGGCGGGAGAGGCCGACGGUAUUCUCGGGGUAGGGGUGAAAUCCUAUAAUCCCGGGAGGACCACCAGUGGCGAAGGCUGUCGGCUAGAACGCGCUCGACGGUGAGGGACGAAAGCUGGGGGAGCGAACCGGAUUAGAUACCCGGGUAGUCCCAGCUGUAAACGAUGCGGGCUAGGUGUUGGGGUGGCUACGAGCCACUUCAGUGCCGCAGGGAAGCCAUUAA